This 755-nucleotide ribosomal RNA is filed under the name Lactococcus lactis. RNAcentral's name for it is "bacterial SSU rRNA". It matches the Rfam family "Bacterial small subunit ribosomal RNA", at positions 20 to 758 of the family's 1533-position model. Lineage: Bacteria; Bacillati; Bacillota; Bacilli; Lactobacillales; Streptococcaceae. The record is from RNAcentral.
UGGCUCAGGACGAACGCUGGCGGCGUGCUUAAUACAUGCAAGUUGAGCGAUGAAGAUUGGUGCUUGCACCAAUUUGAAGAGCAGCGAACGGGUGAGUAACGCGUGGGGAAUCUGCCUUUGAGCGGGGGACAACAUUUGGAAACGAAUGCUAAUACCGCAUAAUAACUUUAAACAUAAGUUUUAAGUUUGAAAGAUGCAAUUGCAUCACUCAAAGAUGAUCCCGCGUUGUAUUAGCUAGUUGGUGAGGUAAAGGCUCACCAAGGCGAUGAUACAUAGCCGACCUGAGAGGGUGAUCGGCCACAUUGGGACUGAGACACGGCCCAAACUCCUACGGGAGGCAGCAGUAGGGAAUCUUCGGCAAUGGACGAAAGUCUGACCGAGCAACGCCGCGUGAGUGAAGAAGGUUUUCGGAUCGUAAAACUCUGUUGGUAGAGAAGAACGUUGGUGAGAGUGGAAAGCUCAUCAAGUGACGGUAACUACCCAGAAAGGGACGGCUAACUACGUGCCAGCAGCCGCGGUAAUACGUAGGUCCCGAGCGUUGUCCGGAUUUAUUGGGCGUAAAGCGAGCGCAGGUGGUUUAUUAAGUCUGGUGUAAAAGGCAGUGGCUCAACCAUUGUAUGCAUUGGAAACUGGUAGACUUGAGUGCAGGAGAGGAGAGUGGAAUUCCAUGUGUAGCGGUGAAAUGCGUAGAUAUAUGGAGGAACACCGGUGGCGAAAGCGGCUCUCUGGCCUGUAACUGACACUGAGGCUCGAAA